GCCUAGCCCAGAUAGAAACGGCAUCCUUUUAUAUUUUGUUAUUUCAACAAGAAAUAAAAGAUAUAGUGUAGAGCUGGAAAUAGC
This 84-nucleotide small RNA is filed under the name Flavobacterium xueshanense. RNAcentral describes it as "Flavo-1 RNA". It matches the Rfam family "Flavo-1 RNA". The record is from RNAcentral. Lineage: Bacteria; Pseudomonadati; Bacteroidota; Flavobacteriia; Flavobacteriales; Flavobacteriaceae.